Molecule: ribosomal RNA, 1528 nt
Filed under: Klebsiella pneumoniae
Lineage: Bacteria; Pseudomonadati; Pseudomonadota; Gammaproteobacteria; Enterobacterales; Enterobacteriaceae
Description: bacterial SSU rRNA
Rfam family: Bacterial small subunit ribosomal RNA
Source: RNAcentral
AGAGUUUGAUCAUGGCUCAGAUUGAACGCUGGCGGCAGGCCUAACACAUGCAAGUCGAGCGGUAGCACAGAGAGCUUGCUCUCGGGUGACGAGCGGCGGACGGGUGAGUAAUGUCUGGGAAACUGCCUGAUGGAGGGGGAUAACUACUGGAAACGGUAGCUAAUACCGCAUAAUGUCGCAAGACCAAAGUGGGGGACCUUCGGGCCUCAUGCCAUCAGAUGUGCCCAGAUGGGAUUAGCUAGUAGGUGGGGUAAUGGCUCACCUAGGCGACGAUCCCUAGCUGGUCUGAGAGGAUGACCAGCCACACUGGAACUGAGACACGGUCCAGACUCCUACGGGAGGCAGCAGUGGGGAAUAUUGCACAAUGGGCGCAAGCCUGAUGCAGCCAUGCCGCGUGUGUGAAGAAGGCCUUCGGGUUGUAAAGCACUUUCAGCGGGGAGGAAGGCGUUAAGGUUAAUAACCUUGGCGAUUGACGUUACCCGCAGAAGAAGCACCGGCUAACUCCGUGCCAGCAGCCGCGGUAAUACGGAGGGUGCAAGCGUUAAUCGGAAUUACUGGGCGUAAAGCGCACGCAGGCGGUCUGUCAAGUCGGAUGUGAAAUCCCCGGGCUCAACCUGGGAACUGCAUUCGAAACUGGCAGGCUAGAGUCUUGUAGAGGGGGGUAGAAUUCCAGGUGUAGCGGUGAAAUGCGUAGAGAUCUGGAGGAAUACCGGUGGCGAAGGCGGCCCCCUGGACAAAGACUGACGCUCAGGUGCGAAAGCGUGGGGAGCAAACAGGAUUAGAUACCCUGGUAGUCCACGCCGUAAACGAUGUCGAUUUGGAGGUUGUGCCCUUGAGGCGUGGCUUCCGGAGCUAACGCGUUAAAUCGACCGCCUGGGGAGUACGGCCGCAAGGUUAAAACUCAAAUGAAUUGACGGGGGCCCGCACAAGCGGUGGAGCAUGUGGUUUAAUUCGAUGCAACGCGAAGAACCUUACCUGGUCUUGACAUCCACAGAACUUUCCAGAGAUGGAUUGGUGCCUUCGGGAACUGUGAGACAGGUGCUGCAUGGCUGUCGUCAGCUCGUGUUGUGAAAUGUUGGGUUAAGUCCCGCAACGAGCGCAACCCUUAUCCUUUGUUGCCAGCGGUCAGGCCGGGAACUCAAAGGAGACUGCCAGUGAUAAACUGGAGGAAGGUGGGGAUGACGUCAAGUCAUCAUGGCCCUUACGACCAGGGCUACACACGUGCUACAAUGGCAUAUACAAAGAGAAGCGACCUCGCGAGAGCAAGCGGACCUCAUAAAGUAUGUCGUAGUCCGGAUUGGAGUCUGCAACUCGACUCCAUGAAGUCGGAAUCGCUAGUAAUCGUAGAUCAGAAUGCUACGGUGAAUACGUUCCCGGGCCUUGUACACACCGCCCGUCACACCAUGGGAGUGGGUUGCAAAAGAAGUAGGUAGCUUAACCUUCGGGAGGGCGCUUACCACUUUGUGAUUCAUGACUGGGGUGAAGUCGUAACAAGGUAACCGUAGGGGAACCUGCGGUUGGAUCACCU